Molecule: long non-coding RNA, 660 nt
Organism: Anopheles nili
Lineage: Eukaryota; Metazoa; Arthropoda; Insecta; Diptera; Culicidae
Exons: 6
Source: RefSeq, a predicted model, not a curated record
AUGAAUCUCAAGCAUAACACGAAGUUCCGGUCUACCCUCUCAUGGUGCUUUACAAAUAGCUAGUAAACCAUCUUUCGUAGUCACUCGAUAAUAUCGCGUGUACUACAAAAUACACUUAAACAUCGCAAUGAACACUCCAGCGUCACCAAGCAUCCGACGACAGUCAGCGAUGGCAAAUGGGUGUUCAAAAAUACCAUAAGGACAUAUGGGAUUGAUUACUUCACUAGGAGUACUUCCCAUAGGGGUCAGAGCUCUAAUUCGGUGUUCAGGCAGAAAACGAUGGGUUUGAAAAUACCAUAAGACCAUGUGGAAACCGAUUACUGCUCAAAGAGGAUGAUUUCACGUAGGAUUCAAAUCUCCAGAACACUGUUGAUACAGUCAUCUAUAGGUUUAACAAUACCAUAAAACCAUGUGAAACCGAUUACUGCUCAAGGGGUACUUUGCGUAUUCACCAGAUCGUCAGAAUAGUGCCCAGGCAACCAGCGAUGAUUUUACAAAAGCCAUGAUGAUGCCAUGUGAGGCCGAUAACUUUGCAAGGUCUAGUCGACGAGAAAACCUUACCUCCGGCUCCGAGUUCAAGUGGUCAUCGAAAACUUUCAAAGUGGCUAUUAACAGCUACACAAAUCAUACCCACGAUUGGUUGUAAACGAUUUCAAUAAC